GCUACCUUAUAUACCCAGAGGGAGAGGCUAAAGCCCAGCAUUGGUAAAAGGCGAAGGAUGCACCCAAAACAAGAAAACCUGUGAGGUGUUGGCCCCAUUAGCCCCAUCACUCCCUAUUUAUCAACAUACGUGCACAUGUGCACACACACACAUCCUCAGAGUUUUCAGUUUUUACUGAUCUAUCAAUUUCAGUGCCAUCUCUAGGGUUGAGUGUGAUGGGAGAGGUAGCCACUAGUGUGAGUUUACAAUCUUGUUCAGUUCCUAAGUUUAAAUUCACACAGCUAAGAGUGAAUUUAGAGUUUGCCUCCUAAGGUAGGUAAUUGCAAAACUGACCUG
Molecule: long non-coding RNA, 336 nt
Filed under: Bos taurus (domestic cattle)
Lineage: Eukaryota; Metazoa; Chordata; Mammalia; Artiodactyla; Bovidae
Description: long non-coding RNA NONBTAT016147
Source: RNAcentral